This is a long non-coding RNA of Nymphalis io (European peacock), 211 nucleotides long. RefSeq lists it as uncharacterized. Lineage: Eukaryota; Metazoa; Arthropoda; Insecta; Lepidoptera; Nymphalidae. The transcript is spliced from 3 exons. The record is from RefSeq and is a predicted model, not a curated record.
GGCGCCGGUCGCUUACCGACGCUGUCAGUUUUAAACGAUUAAAUAUAUUCCUUUUUAUUAUAUACAAAAUUAUAAUAACGGAGGGUUACCUACGUCAUCUACUUUGUAAAACUUAUUUGAGAGGUUCGGGUUACCAAAUCUCUUUGUAUCAAAACCGUGCCACGUGCAAUAUAAGUCAUAUAUUGCCUUAUUUCUACAGAUUUAAACACUC